RNAcentral lists this long non-coding RNA (296 nucleotides) under Pavo cristatus (Indian peafowl). RNAcentral describes it as "lncRNA (ENSPSTG00000009929.1)". The record is from RNAcentral. Lineage: Eukaryota; Metazoa; Chordata; Aves; Galliformes; Phasianidae.
GUGGCAAUAAAAUUUCACUGAGUGUUUAUAAAGAGACUUCAGAAAUGCUGCACAAAGGUGAAGAUGGUACUGCUUUUCAGUGGGAGCAAUUGUUCUACUGACAACACAUGUUGCCAUAGCAUUUUAUUAUCAUUUUUCACCAGUCCCUUUGCCGUUGCUGGCAGUCAAGGAGGCAACACUGUGGCAGGUUUUUUGGACAAAGCAGUGAGCUGCACUGUUCCGUGUUGGUGGAGGAACUGGUGCGCUGACUGCAGGAACGCUGCUCCUGAUUUACACCCUUGGAAGGGUGAUCACAG